AUGUGGUGGUGAGGGCAUUUACGAAUGGCUCUUUGAAUCUUUUAUAUGCUUCAUAUAGGGACUCAUCAUCCGUUUUUUAAAAACUGGUGAUCUCAUGCAGCAACUU
Molecule: non-coding RNA, 106 nt
Organism: Gossypium raimondii (Peruvian cotton)
Lineage: Eukaryota; Viridiplantae; Streptophyta; Magnoliopsida; Malvales; Malvaceae
Source: Rfam